GUGAAUCAUCAAAUUUUUGAACGCAAAUUGCACUCUCUGGUAUUCCAGAGAGUAUGCCUGUUUGAGGGUCAGUUGAAAUAAAAAGCGGUGUGGUGGCUGCCUUGCGUGGUUACGCACCGGAUUUGGGUCGUCUUGCCUUCGGUUAAGUGACGUAAAAUUUGUCAUGAUGUUUUCGAACUUAUUUAAAUGAUUUUACGUACGUUUGCGAUAUCGAAUACUAGGGAUUGUCAUCCUCAUGAUUCG
This 243-nucleotide unclassified non-coding RNA is filed under the name Glomus sp. RNAcentral's name for it is "partial contains 5.8S ribosomal RNA and internal transcribed spacer 2". The stretch from base 1 to 71 matches the Rfam family "5.8S ribosomal RNA", at positions 84 to 154 of the family's 154-position model. The record is from RNAcentral. Lineage: Eukaryota; Fungi; Glomeromycota; Glomeromycetes; Glomerales; Glomeraceae.